This 4992-nucleotide long non-coding RNA is filed under the name Xyrichtys novacula (pearly razorfish). The record is from RNAcentral. Lineage: Eukaryota; Metazoa; Chordata; Actinopteri; Labriformes; Labridae.
UGAACCUGGCGUUUGGGUCUGCAAGAGAUUCACAGCCAUUUGAAUGCAGAAAUACUCAGAAAUGCAAUAUCACACUUUACUUUUUUUCAUGAUAUGUCCUGUAGCAUCAGAAAAAUGAACAUAUGAACAUGUAAACAACAAGAGAAACAUGAUUUUCAUCAGAGUGGGUCUUUAAACACCAGAAACAUCACUGAAAGACUUCUGAAGAUGAAUCAUGUGCCUGAUAGAAAAUGUCCCAUUAACAAAGCACCACCGUUAAUUAUCAGUAAUAUGUAAAAGCUGAGCAGCGACUAGAUUAAGAGCUUUAAACCAAACGUCUCCCUGACACGUCGUCCUCAGGUUUGUGUUGGAAAUACAGGCAGGGGUGCAGCUGAACAAAGUGAGUGAAUCAUUGGCUAUGUAACAAAGAGCUGAACCUGCACACUCAUGUCCUGACGUAAAUGAUUUAUAAAAAGACUUCAACUUUUCAGGAGGCGCCCGCGCUCACCCCUUUGCUCACUUUCCAUUUCAGGUGAUAUUUUCCGUUUCCUGGGUAAUCAUUUCAUAAUAAUAUGACUCGUACGUGCUAACUUAAACUCACACAGUGUUGAUUUGAUGGCUUUUCUCUCAUGCUACCUUUAAUAAUUUGCAUGACCAGGAAAGGAAAACAUUUAGCAUAAGUGGAAAUACAUUAAAAAAAAUAAUCUAUGCUAAAUAAUCCUCUGCAGCCCCCCCUGAUCUCUCUGGGACUUGAUACUGAUUUUUACGGAUGUCGUCAUUCAUUCAGUUUUUCCCCCCAAUGAAUACUUUAUAGGGUCAUGUGAUGCGCCUGCUGCACUGAAUAGAAAGACGAGUCAAGAGUUCAUCAUGGGAUUAGAGCAGAUAUACAGUACAGGCAAUGAGUGACAACAUAACGUAACCAAUCCAUCUGAAUUGUAUAAGGAAGCUCGGGGCGACUCUGCUUGAACCCGCUAACCCCACACACAUUUUGUCAACGAGCGAGUCACGGAUGAAGAAAAUUCAAACUAAACCACCCCACAGUCGAUGGAAGUGAGAUCUCACUACCUGUUGGAUGGACAUUGCAAUUCCUGAAAUGUCAUACUCGGCAUUAUCGGUAUGAAUAUUUAAAGAGGUGCAAAGAUUGUUCCUCAUGUGUUCGACGUUAUGAUGGUUUUGUUAAAUCUGGAGCUCAGGAGCGUACGUGACAACAUGCAAAUCGACUGUGGCAUCCAACUGUAGCUACAUUCGACGAUUAACACCAAAGUCAUGAUUUCUAACAACGCAAGAUCAUUUACUUUAAACUUAAGCUCUGAUAUUUAAAACAAGGUUUAUUUUCGAUCAAAAAGUAGGCCACGUGGAUCGUCUUAUUCACUGCUUCUUGAAUAUUUGACUCAAUUUAUGAGUAUCAGUCAAGAAUACCGACGGUUAAACCAUCAUCUGGAGGGCUAGUAAGUUUAACAAACAACCCCUUGCCAGUGUGUUUACUGAGGAUGGUCCAAAAGCCCUAAAGCUCCAUAAAGCUUCAGCUGCCCAUCAAAACCUCAUCUGUUGGACUUCCUGCUGGGUCUUAGAUCUCUUUUAAAGCCUCAUGUUUUCAGAAAUAGCUGCUCCAAGGAUGAAGCAUGAUGGGGCUUUACUAGAGGAGGAAGAGCUACUGCCUUGCAAACAUAUAUGAGGCUUACGUGUCGUGAUAUAUUGGAAUAGAUAAAAGUUAAAUAAUGAACCCAUAAAACUGAUUAUCUAAUUUUUAUGGCAAGCUCAUGCAAGAAUAGAGUACAAGUAUCUGGUCACCAGUCCUGCUCUCUGUACGGGUUGGGAUCCAGUGUCUUGCUCAAGGACACUGAAACAGAUAUGGACUCACUCUGCAGCCAAGGUCCGGACCUCUGAGCCCCCAGGUGAAGGGACAGGUCUCCUCAUGCUCCGGAUGUCAUCCAUCACAUCCAAAACCCAACUUUAGCCCGGCCUGGGAAGCUCUUAUUCUUAGAACGGGCCGCUGUGAUGUCAUGGCAGGACCGGGAUUGACAGAUAGCGUUGGGGGUAUGUGCGGCAUGCUGAGCACCCGGGGGGCUCUCAUGGCCGUUCUUCCUGUCUGCGGCUUGGCCUUUCGUGGUUCUAAAGCCAAGGAUUAAAGGCCACAGGAAACUACCGGUGCUAAUUUUAGAAGGCAUGUAGAUGGGCCUGGCAGAACCCUUCAGCACCUUCAUCACAUCCGCACAGCGGCAGUGACAGGGCAGGCCAUACUGGGAUCUGGAAACACGUAUGGCUGGGUCAUGGCGAGGGCUGUAAAGGGGGGGUCGGCAUGUGGACAUGUGGUCAGAUGACUGAUAGGCGUGGAGUUAAAUGUACAGUGGUGGGGCGAUCAGCUGGCAGACUAAAAAAGCACUGCUCUGGGGUCAGCAUUGGAGGGUAGAGAGAUUCAACAGUGAAACUUCAGAGUCCCCUCAGACCCGGGACUUUUCUGUAAUUCAAUGAUACUGAGAUCUUCAGUGGUGUAAAACGCUGUUUGGAACAACCAGAUCCACCGCGAGUGUUGAAGGUUAGAUCCCACUCAUAUACCAAGGCUUUAAUCCUUGAAGUAGGCAGCUUAGGUUGGACUUAGACCUGAGCUGGAUGGAAACAUUUAUUCCUCUAAAUCCUGUUUGUUUUGUUCAGCAUCAACGGUCCGCUCUCAGAUGUGUAAGCCACUAAUGCGUUGGUCUCCAGCAGUUCUGCGUCAUGUUUUCCUCUUUGCAUGGCACAGUUUCAAUCAGCCUCUGUGGAUGAGUUGACAAACUGUGUCGAUACAAAUGCAGUGAUUUCCACUACAGAGCCAUCAGCUUUUAAUGCAGUGGCAAAUGAGGGCCCAAAGGUCAUGGCCAUUCAUGGUUUUCAGGGUUUUGUUGCCCCUGUCCCAGCUUUUUUGAAACCUGUUGCAGGCAUGAGGUUGAAAAUGAAAAGUUUCUAGUUCGUUUGUGCAUCUGAUAUGUUUUCUUUGCACUAUUUUAAGUUAAUAAUAGGGUUUGAGUUAUUAGCAAGCUCUCUCGAUCAACAUUUCAAACAGGGUCCCAACUUUUCUAGACAGUCUGGCCGCAGACUUCCACUGUCAGGACCCUUUUGUUGCAGAAUGGUCAACUGCCACUGAGCAGACCGUGUGUUGAUUUGAAGCCUUUCAAAAUAAAAGUAAAUAUACCGGGAGAAUGCUUUUUUUUUAUUAAUUUUUUUAUUUAUUUAAGAAGUAUUUUAUUUUAUUUUUUUACAUUGGAAGUUGAUUUGAAGCCUUUUAAAAUAAAAGCAAAUAUAUUAAGAGAAUUAAAAAAAUAUAUAUUUAUUUUUUCAGGAAGUUGAUUUGAAGUCUUUCAAAUUAAAAGCAAAUAUACCAGAAGUAUUUAUUUAUUUUAACUUUGGAAGUUGUGUCAAAGCCUUUCAAAUUAAAAGCAAAUUUACCGGGAGUACUUUUUUUUUUUUUUUUUUUUAAUGUUUGAAGUUUUUUCAAAGCCUUUUAGAUUAAAAGCGAUUAGACUUGGAAGUAUGUUUUGUCUUGUGUGAAUAUAUUUAAGUUCCCUGGGCUUGUAUUUUUUUGUGUAUUCAUGUGUUCAACAAGACAAAAUACAAAACGGGAUGAAGACUUUAAACAAACUCAAGCGCCUGAGAAAAAACAUCAUCGGGUCCUCUCAGUGGAGGUCUACAGUCAGACCCCUCUAAACUUUUUUGGAGUUUGGGAUAAUGUGUGUUGCUGGAAAAUAAUGAUGAAACUUGGCUGUGUGAUUAAUAUCAACUCAUGUUUGAUCUUGUUGUAACCGGUGGGAGUUGGUGCAGUGAGGAUAGAUCUAUAGCCACCUACACACACACUGUUUCACAGAAGGGAGGGUGGAAAAAAAACAGCAAAUUGCAAAAAGAAUUAUUAAAAUGUCAACAUGCCAAAUAUUGGAACAAUAACACGACAACUGCUAUAGUGAACUUAGAAUGAGACUGUUUAGUAUUCGGAGAAGGAAUGGCUCACCGCUCCAGGUGCUUGCGAACGACACCAUCCUUCGGUUGGAGCAGCUAAGACGCUAGUGCGUGGGGAAUUUUGUGUAACUGAGAGGAGCUGAAAAGUAACUUUAAAAGUCUGAAAUCAGCACCUGGAGGAGUAGCUGUUGAACAGAGUCAGUCUACUUCCCUGCUGAGGGCUGUUGAAACCAACACUUAUUUUAGUUAGUACAAGUUGCAAAGCAGCAUCUUGAAGUGUUGAAAAUGCUGCAUCCGCUCCAUGAUUGAAUACAAACAUGGGUGGGUGUGGGUGUGGAGCGCGGCUGCCCCACUUCUCACUGCCUUCCUGGCCAUGAAAAUAAAGGCAAGAGGUUGUGGGGCUAAACUUGGCGCGCCUGCUAAUCCUCUGCUAACGGUUCCUGUCCCUCUUACCCUCAAGCGACAGCGUGUUGACAGCCGCCUCCACCCCUUUCACCUCCUCCACCCCCACCAACCCCCUUCCUCCAUCAGCUCCCCCCCUGCACCCCCAACCCACCUGUCUCAUGUCACAUUGCUUCCCCCCCAUAUCCACUCCAGCAAUUUCCUGUUGCCCUCUCAGAUAGUGUUACAAGUCCCAAAACUGCAAAGGCAGACACACACACAAACACACACACACUUGCACUGCCUGCAGGCUCACUCUAAUAGACAUUAAGAGGGACACACACUCACACACCAACGCGUAUACACACACAUUCAUUCUUGCAUGCCAGCCAUGCUAUCAUUUUCACUGCCAAUCCUCACAAUCUCAACGCUUACACCAUUGCACUUUCCAACUCUCUCUCUCUCUCUCACACACACAAACACACACACUCGCUCUCUGUUUCUCUCUCUCUCUCUCUCUCUCUCUGACCAGAUUAUUAAUCCGGCUCAGGGAACAGGCUGUGACCAAAAACCUCGUCGGAAGCAACAGAUGGACUGCCUCACAAAAAAACAACGAAACCCCCAAACACUUCCUGUCGGAUUUGCACACAUGCAGAUCAGAAACACACACACACACACAGACCAGCCUGUAACACCUCUCAUGAA